UACGUAGGGUGCGAGCGUUAAUCGGAAUUACUGGGCGUAAAGCGUGCGCAGGCGGUUCGUUGUGUCGGCGGUGAAAGCCCCGGGCUUAACCUGGGAAUGGCCGUCGAAACUGGCGAACUGGAGUGUGGCAGAGGGGGGUGGAAUUCCGCGUGUAGCAGUGAAAUGCGCAGAUAUCAGGAGGAACACCGGUGGCGAAGGCGGGUCUCUGGGCCGAUACUGACGCUGAGGAGCGAAAGCGUGGGGAGCGAACAGG
This 253-nucleotide ribosomal RNA is filed under the name uncultured bacterium. RNAcentral's name for it is "partial 16S ribosomal RNA". It matches the Rfam family "Bacterial small subunit ribosomal RNA", at positions 524 to 776 of the family's 1533-position model. The record is from RNAcentral.